GCAGACGGGUGAGUAAUGUAUAGGAAUCUACCUAGUAGUACGGAAUAAUUGUUGGAAACGACAACUAAUACCGUAUACGCCCUACGGGGGAAAAAUUUAUUGCUAUUAGAUGAGCCUAUAUUAGAUUAGCUAGUUGGUGGGGUAAUAGCCUACCAAGGUAAUGAUCUAUAGCUGAUCUGAGAGGAUGAUCAGCCACACUGGAACUGAGAUACGGUCCAGACUCCUACGGGAGGCAGCAGUGGGGAAUAUUGGACAAUGGGCGAAAGCCUGAUCCAGCCAUGCCGCAUGAGUGAAGAAGGCCUUUGGGUUGUAAAGCUCUUUUAGUGAGGAAGAUAAUGACGGUACUCACAGAAGAAGUCCUGGCUAACUCCGUGCCAGCAGCCGCGGUAAUACGGAGAGGGCUAGCGUUAUUCGGAAUUAUUGGGCGUAAAGGGCGCGUAGGCUGGUUAAUAAGUUAAAAGUGAAAUCCCGAGGCUUAACCUUGGAAUUGCUUUUAAAACUAUUAAUCUAGAGAUUGAAAGAGGAUAGGGGAAUUCCUGAUGUAGAGGUAAAAUUCGUAAAUAUUAGGAGGAACACCAGUGGCGAAGGCGUCUAUCUGGUUCAAAUCUGACGCUGAAGCGCGAAGGCGUGGGGAGCAAACAGGAUUAGAUACCCUGGUAGUCCACGCUGUAAACGAUGAAUGUUAAAUAUGGGGAGUUUACUUUCUGUAUUACAGCUAACGCGUUAAACAUUCCGCCUGGGGACUACGGUCGCAAGAUUAAAACUCAAAGGAAUUGACGGGGACCCGCACAAGCGGUGGAGCAUGUGGUUUAAUUCGAUGCAACGCGAAAACCAAGUCACU
This 841-nucleotide ribosomal RNA is filed under the name Wolbachia pipientis. RNAcentral's name for it is "bacterial SSU rRNA". It matches the Rfam family "Bacterial small subunit ribosomal RNA", at positions 98 to 977 of the family's 1533-position model. Lineage: Bacteria; Pseudomonadati; Pseudomonadota; Alphaproteobacteria; Rickettsiales; Anaplasmataceae. The record is from RNAcentral.